This is a non-coding RNA of Caerostris darwini, 126 nucleotides long. The record is from the annotation of a GenBank genome assembly. NCBI's taxonomy places the organism in Eukaryota, Metazoa, Arthropoda, Arachnida, Araneae, Araneidae.
AACGGCCGUACCAUGCUGAAUAUACCGGUUCUCGUUAGAUCACCGAAGUCAAGCAUCAUUGGGCGCGGUCCACCUGGGUACCGCGUGCCGUUGGGUGGGUGACCACCUGGGAACACUGCGGUGCCG